Molecule: ribosomal RNA, 406 nt
Filed under: uncultured bacterium
Lineage: Bacteria
Description: partial 16S ribosomal RNA
Rfam family: Bacterial small subunit ribosomal RNA
Source: RNAcentral
GACGAACGCUGGCGGCGUGCCUAAUACAUGCAAGUAGAACGAGUUGCGAACGGGUGAGUAACGCGUGGUAACCUGCCUCAUAGCGGGGGAUAACUCUUGGAAACGAAAGCUAAUACCCAAUAUUUUGAGAUGGACCUGCGUUGUAUUGGGUAGUUGGUGAGGUAACGGCUCACCAAGGCGACGAUACAUAGCCGACCUGAGAGGAUGACCAGCCACACUGGAACUGAGACACGGUCCAGACUCCUACGGGAGGCAGCAGUGGGGAAUAUUGCACAAUGGGCGCAAGCCUGAUGCAGCCAUGCCGCGUGUAUGAAGAAGGCCUUCGGGUUGUAAAGUACUUUCAGCGAGGAGGCGUUACUCGCAGAAGAAGCACCGGCUAACUCCGUGCCAGCAGCCGCGGUAAUUC